RNAcentral lists this ribosomal RNA (427 nucleotides) under uncultured bacterium. Its description in RNAcentral is "partial 16S ribosomal RNA". It matches the Rfam family "Bacterial small subunit ribosomal RNA", at positions 354 to 796 of the family's 1533-position model. The record is from RNAcentral.
GUGGGGAAUAUUGGGCAAUGGGGGCAACCCUGACCCAGCGACGCCGCGUGGGUGAAGAAAUCCCUCGGGAUGUAAAGCCCUGUUGUAUGGGAAGAGCAGAAGACGGUACCAUACGAGGAAGCCCCGGCAAACUACGUGCCAGCAGCCGCGGUAAUACGUAGGGGGCAAGCGUUGUCCGGAAUUACUGGGCGUAAAGCGCACGCAGGCUGAAUUAUAAGUCGGUAGUCAAAUACGGAGGCUCAACUUCCGGAUAUCUAUCGAUACUGUAAAUCUAGAGUAUGUGAGAGGGAAGCGGAAUUCCCGGUGUAGCGGUGAAAUGCGUAGAUAUCAGGAGGAACACCGAUGGCGAAAGCAGUCUCCUGGCCAAAUACUGACGCUGAGGUACGAAAGCUAGGGUAGCAAACAGGAUUAGAUACCCUUGUAGUCC